RNAcentral lists this ribosomal RNA (507 nucleotides) under uncultured glomeraceous AM fungus. RNAcentral's name for it is "SSU rRNA". It matches the Rfam family "Eukaryotic small subunit ribosomal RNA", at positions 569 to 1078 of the family's 1831-position model. Lineage: Eukaryota; Fungi; Glomeromycota; Glomeromycetes; Glomerales; Glomeraceae. The record is from RNAcentral.
AGCAGCCGCGGUAAUUCCAGCUCCAAUAGCGUAUAUUAAAGUUGUUGCAGUUAGAAAGCUCGUAGUUGAAUUUCGGGGUUAGUAGGUUGGUCAUGCCUCUGGUAUGUACUGGUCUCACUGAUUCCUCCUUCCUGAUGAUCCGUAAUGCCAUUAAUUUGGUGUUGCGGGGAAUUUGGGCCGUUACUUUGAAAAAAUUAGAGUGUUUAAAGCAAGCUAACGCUUGAAUACAUUAGCAUGGAAUAAUGAAUAGGACGUUCGAUCCUAUUUUGUUGGUUUCUAGGAUUGACGUAAUGAUUAAUAGGGAUAGCUGGGGGCAUUAGUAUUCAAUUGUCAGAGGUGAAAUUCUUGGAUUUAUUGAAGACUAACUACUGCGAAAGCAUUUGCCAAGGAUGUUUUCAUUAAUCAAGAACGAAAGUUAGGGGAUCGAAGACGAUCAGAUACCGUCGUAGUCUUAACCAUAAACUAUGCCGACUAGGGAUCGGAUGAUGUUAAUUUUUUAAUGACUCA